GAUAUUGACGCGCAUCGCGGGGGUGGCUGGCGUCGCGUCCGGAUUGAAGGCCGAACCGGGCGCCAGCAGAAUACUGCGUUCAGCGGCAACGCGUGACAACUGCGUGUCGUCGAUAUGCGCCGGCAGUUCGCACCACAUGUAAAACCCGCCGCGCGGCUGUCCGAACACCGGCAGGCCGAGCCGCGCCAGGCUGUCGUUCGCCUGACGGGUGGCGGCUUCGAUGCGCCCGUUCAGCCGCUUGAGAUGACCGCGAUNUGACCGCGAUAGCGCCCGCUGGUGAUGAGAUCGUAGAUGAUCUGUUCGAUGUAGCCCGAG
RNAcentral lists this unclassified non-coding RNA (315 nucleotides) under Hevea brasiliensis (rubber tree). The record is from RNAcentral. Lineage: Eukaryota; Viridiplantae; Streptophyta; Magnoliopsida; Malpighiales; Euphorbiaceae.